UGUGGAGGGAACGUGGGGAAGUGAAACAUCUCAUUACCCACAGGAAGAGAAAGCAACCGCGAUUCCGCGAGUAGUGGCGAGCGAAAGCGGAGGAGGCUAAACCGUGUGUGUGUUCAAGCCGGCAGGUGUUGCAUGUGCGGGGUUGUGGGGGCCUUGUGGUUCUGCUGCCGCAGGAUUGGCCAGUGAGAAAUGUUGCGUGAAGGUGAAGCGUCUGGGAAGGCGUACCGGAGUGGGUGAGAGUCCUGUAACUGUAAGCGUGGCACUGGUGUGGGGUUGCCCCGAGUAGCGUGGGACUCGUGGAAUUUCGCGUGAAUCUGGCGGGACCACCCGUCAAGCCUAAAUACUCCUUGGUGACCGAUAGUGGAUGAGUACCGUGAGGGAAGGGUGAAAAGUACCCCGGGAGGGGAGUGAAAUAGUACCUGAAACCGUGUGCCUACAAGCCGUGAGAGCCUUAUGCCGCUUCGGUG
This 467-nucleotide ribosomal RNA is filed under the name Aplanochytrium sp. PBS07. RNAcentral describes it as "partial Bacterial large subunit ribosomal RNA". It matches the Rfam family "Bacterial large subunit ribosomal RNA", at positions 173 to 595 of the family's 2925-position model. The record is from RNAcentral. Lineage: Eukaryota; Bigyra; Thraustochytrida; Thraustochytriidae.